Podarcis lilfordi (Lilford's wall lizard) is the source of this 15414-nucleotide non-coding RNA. The record is from the annotation of a GenBank genome assembly. Lineage: Eukaryota; Metazoa; Chordata; Lepidosauria; Squamata; Lacertidae.
CCCGGCGGCGGUGAGGGCUAAGAGUGAAGAGCCGGUGGAGCCGGCUGGGAUGCUGGCCACUCGCCACGCAACCGUGGCUGGCGGGGCUUUGGAAGCUCCCAAGGCGCCACGGGCAGGCAGAUGAGCUGCAAGCAGGUGGGUCCCGCGUCGGAGGGAGCCUCUGUAUGAGAAGAAGAUAGGGCAGCGUCUCUAUCUCGGCAAUCCCCACCUUUUAGGGGCGAGAGGGAAGGGCAAGAGGAGGGAGAACUCGAGAGGGCGCUUCCCCUGUUCACUUCACCGCGCGCAAAGACGCACCGAGCACCCCGGGCUGGAGCCUCUCCAACCGCGCAUGGACGGAGGGAACCUCCUUUCCACCCCCGGCUGCUGAUUCACUUGCACAAGGGGGAGAUCCGUGGGAGGGAAAACCACAGGGGAAGUUGCUAGGCAGAGAGGGUAGGAGGAGGACCCUAACCGGCUGUGGAGUGUGUGUGUUUUUACUCGGAAGCAAGAACCGUUGUUCCGAGUUCGUGCGCGCAGAGGAGCGGGCUUCAAAGCUACGAUCCUUACUUGGAAGCAGCAGCGCUUGAGUGAGCGAGUGGUAGCAAACCUGAACCCCCUUUACUGAAAGGAAGCCCGGUGAUUUUAGCGGAGGCAUGGGAUCAUCAAACUAAAGCCUAAGCUAGAAAAAUCAAGACACACACCCCAUGCCUCCCUCCCUUGCUGUGCACAAGCCCCGUUACCAAACCCACCUUCUUCUCUUGCUGGUUACUGUGGUUUUAACAGGUAGACACCCCACUUUUGCACGCUUCCCCCUGCCUAAAUUGCAGGGUGGAAGGCUGCACCUGUUGACUUUCUCAUUGGCAUAGGUGUUGGAGGCGUAAAGCUGCUAUCAUGCGGAAAGGGGGCUGCCACAUCCUCUCGCUCAGCAACCCAGUUUCUUGUAACAAUGGUAUAACAAGCAGGGGAUUCAAUUGGUCUUGAUUUUUCCAAUACAGUAAUGGAAUAGUUGCACCUGUUGGAUAUCUGCCUUAUGCAGAUUUAAAAGCCUUAGAUCUUUUAACAGGGAAAUGGUUGGAAACCUAUCUCCAGUUUCUGCCAUAAAUAGCCCAUCUUCCAAAGGACUGUGAUUGCCUUGUUAUGUAGAGUCAUUUUCUUUGAAAUUUUGAUCUGGCAAUACUAUUUCCCACUUAUUCAUGCAUGUUUGUUUGUUUAAAUCUAGCUUAGAAGCAGGGUGGCUGCCAUAACACAUAACAGCAUCAGACCCAAUUGUUAAGCCUAUUAAGCAUUGGGUGGGAGGGGGAGAUGUCCACAUUUUAGUCCAAAAGGACCACACUUGUGGACGAAGCAGAACCCUUCCCACUUUUUUGCUUGCUGAGUUCACUUCAAUCCAUUUAAGUUAGAAGAUUGGAAUCAUAGAGUUGGAAAGGACCACGAGGAUCACUUUUGUGCAACAUGGGGCUGAAACUCAGGACCCUGAGAUUAAGAGUCGCAUGCUUUACUGACUGAACCAUCAUUUUAAUGGUGACAUUAAACGUAGUAGUUCAGAAAAUCAUACAGGCAUACAUUUGUUGCUGUGGGGUGUUGUUGUUUUUGCUGUCUUGUUGGAGUUACUCAGUCCAGGCAGCAGUGGAAAUCCAUUGGCUCAGGGGCUUAUUGAAGUCCUCUAAAUCUCUUUCUGGCCCUCAAUAUCAGUUCCUAUGCCAUUUUCACGUCUCUCAGCCUCUCCUCCUUCACUGGUCAUCCUCUGCACUCUUCUCAAGGGUUUUUGCAUGGUUGGAAUAUGCAUGUCAUUGACCUGUGAUGUAGUAUGGGAAAGUGCCCGAGGGCAAAGGGGGCCCCCAGUACGCAACUCAUCCCCAGCUGCCCAGUCCACCAGGAGGCACAACCCCCUGGGCACCGGCAACACACGCUACGACACUGAGCACAGCUGCUUUCAGCAAACAAAGGGCAUUUGCCCUGGCACUCCCUCACCCCAGAGAAACCCAAUCUUUAUGUCUGAAUAGGAAUAGCAUUCAGGUUUUCUGGGGGAAAUAAUAAUAAUAAUAAUAAUAAUAAUAAUAAUAAUAAUUUAUUAUUUAUACCCCGCCCAUCUGGCUGAGUUUCCCCAGCCACUGUGGAUGGCUCCCAAUCAAGUGUUAAAAACAGUACAGCGUUACAUAUUAAAAACUUCCCUGAACAGGGCUGCCUUAAGAUGUCUUCUGAAUGUCAGGUAAUUGUUUAUAUCUUUGACAUCUGAUGGGAGGGCGUUCCACAGGGCGGGCGCCACUACCGAGAAGGCCUACUGUCUGGUUCCCUGUAGCCUCACUUCUCGCAAUGAGGGAACCGCCAGAAGGCCCUCGGUGCUGGAUCUCAGUGUCCGGGCUAAAGGAUGGGAGUGGAGACGCUCCUUCAGGUAUACUGGACUGAGGCCGUUUAGGGCUUUAAAGGUCAGCACCAAUACUUUGAAUCAUGCUCGGAAACGUACUGGGAGCCAAUGCAGAUCUCUCAGAACCGGUGUUAUGUGGUCCCGGCGGCCACUCCCAGUCACCAGUCUAGCUGCUGAAGUCUGGAUUAAUUGCAGUUUUCGGGUCACCUUCAAAGGUAGCCCCACGUAGAGCGCAUUGCAGUAGUCCAAGCGGGAGAUAACUAGAGCAUGCACCACUCUGGCGAGACAGUCUGCGGGCAGGUAGGGUCUUAGCCUGUGUACCAGGUGGAGCUGGUAGACAGCUGCCCUGGACACAGAGUUAACCUGUGCCUCCAUGGACAGCUGUGAGUCCAAAAUGACUCCCAGGCUGCGCACCUGGUCCUUCAGGGUCACAGUUACCCCAUUCAGGACCAGGAAAUCCCCCACACCCACCUGUCCCCCAAAAAUAGUACUUCUGUCUUGUCAGGAUUCAACCUCAAUCUGUUAGCCACCAUCCAUCCUCCAACCGCCUCCAGGCACUCAGACAGGACCUUCACUGGUUCUGAUUUAAAGAAGAGGUAGAGCUGGGUGUCAUCUGCAUACUGAUCAACACCCAGUGCAAACCCCCUGAUGAUCUCUCCCAGCGGCUUCAUAUAGAUAUUAAAAAGCAUGGGGGAGAGGACGGAACCCUGAGGCACCCCACAAGUGAGAGCCCAGGGGUCUGAAUACUCAUCCCCCACCACCACUUUCUGGACACGUCUCAGGAGAAAGGAGUGGAACCACCGUAUAACAGUGCCCCCAGCUCCCAGCCCCUCUAGACGGUCCAGAAGGAUGUUAUGGUCGAUGGUGUCAAAGGCCGCUUAGAGAUCCAGCAGAACUAGGAAACAGCUCUCACCUUUGUCCCUAGCCCGACGGAGAUCAUCAACCAGCACGACCAAGGCAGUUUCAGUCCCAUGGUGAGGCCUGAAUCCCGAUUGGAAGGGAUCCAAAUGGUCCGCAUCCUCCAGGCGUGCUUGGAGUUGUUCGGCAACCACCCGCUCAAUCACCUUGCCCAAGAAUGGUAGAUUUGAGACUGGGCUAUAGUUGGCCAAAUUGGCUGGGUCUAAAGAUGUUUUUUUAAGAAGCGGUUUAAUGACCGCCUCUUUCAGCGGGUCUGGGAAGGCUCCCUCACAGAGGGAAGCAUUCACCACCCCGCAGAGCCCAUCGCCCAGCCCUUCCCGGCUUGCUUUUAUCAGCCAGGAUGGGCAAGGAUCAAGGAGACAGGUGGUCGGUUUCACUUGUCCAAGCAGCCUGUCCACAUCCUCGGAGGUAACAGAUUGGAACUGAUCCCAUGUAACAGGACCAGACAGAACUCUAGCACUCUCCCGCCCUGGCCCUGCUCCCACGGUGGAGUCUACCUCCUUCUGAAUCUGAGCAACUUUAUCUGCAAAAAAAUUUGCAAAAGCAUUGCAGGAGAUCUUGGGGUCCCUACCAGGCCCCGGUGGUACAGGUAGUUCCGAUAGAUUGCGAACCACCUGCAAAAGUCUCCUGCUGCUGUUUUCUGCAGAUGCAAUGGAGGCAGCGAAGAAGGCCCUCUUCGCCAUCGCCAUUGCCACUUGGUAGGCUCGAUGUCCGGUCUGAUUCAGAAUGAGUUUUCCACCACUGGCGCUCUAGCCGUCUCAACAAUUGUUUCAUCGCCCUCGGCUCCGAGGAAAACCACGGGGCUGUCCGGGCUCCAUGCAAUCGGAGAGGGCGCUUCGGAGCCACACAGUCAAUAGCCCUGGUUAACUCCGCAUUCCAGCGUGCCACCAGGGAAUCAGCUGAAAGCGGUGAGACAAAGGCAAAACUUUCGGAUAGUGUGGGGAAAGUGGGAAACGACUGCUUUCUAGGCAAUGGACAAACAGAAAGGUGGAUGAGCCCCAAGAUAGAACUUCAUGACUAAUGGCAUAACGUGGGGUGAGGCCACAGGUGCGGUUGCCCUGGGUGCAAAAUUUCAACACCCAGUGCUGCCUAAAUACAGCUGCAUACUUCUGUCACUGGGCUCUGUUGAAAAUGGCUUCUCUGUGUGACUUUCUAGAUAGCAGAGAGAAUCUUCUUCUCUUGUUUCUGAGGCUGUGAUCUCUUGGGUGAUGCGGACACUGUUAGGCAGCUCCAUAGUCCCCACCUCACCCCACACAUGGCCCCAGAUGCUCGCAACCCAUGCUAUACCACUGUGUAGGACAGUCUUUGCCAGCAUGGUCCUGCUAGCUGGGGAUGCUAGAAGUCAUAGCACAAAGCAUCCUCCAGAAGUCACAUUGAUGAUCAACACUGUAUUUGAACUGUGGAGGAGAUAGAUGUCCCUCCACAAACAAGCGCUCACAAAUAGAACUGGAAAUUUUUGCACAGAUCUCUAGUUAUAAUACAGGAAUCCUUCAGGCUGGCUAGCUCAGUAGAUAGAGCAUGAGAUUCUUAAUCCUAGGGUCCUGGGUUCGAGUUCCACAUUUGGUGAAAUAUUCCUGCCUUGCAGAGUGGUGCUUGGGUUUGUGGUCCCUUCCAGCUCUACAAUUCCAUUUUUCUAUGAUGGGGUGGGUGGGGUUGCACCUCCUAAAGCGUGUUGCCUGUUUGAACCAUUCCUGGCUGGCCAGCCCCCAUGCAACUAAAAAAAUAGCAGAAUCACAGAAUUUGUAGAACUGGAAGGGACCACAAGGGCCAUCUAGUCCAACCCCCUGCAAUGCAGGAAUAUUUUGCCCAACGUGGGGCUCGAGCAGAUAACCUUGAGAUUAAGAGUCUCAUGCUCUAGCGACUGAGCUGCCCCACAGAAACUCCAGGUUCAAAGUCCAUCCGACUUACCAUACGCAAGGAUGAGUGUAACAUAAUGGAAAUUAGGAAGAGUCUGAAAGGUCCAUCGAUUCCUGGAGGGAGAUCUGUUCUUCGGACAUCACGAUAAAUGAGCACCACCUGGGAAAGGAGGAAGCAGAUCACAAAUGUCAGCAUCACCAUGGAGAGAUCCAUCUUCCUUCCUGAGAAGCCUUGGAGGGACUGAAUAACCGGCUGAUUCCUGGCAACUAUUUUCUCUGCUGUCAUGCAAUUCCAACUUCUGUCGUCGCAAUUCUGUAGCAAUUGAUCACACCCUUGUUUUUCCAGGAAUUUCUUAUGCAAUACUAUUCUUUCUUCUGAAUAAAUAAAUAAAUGCAAUUAUGUGUUCAGUUAUGUAUGUAAAUGGUUUGUAUUGAACUUUCAAACUGCAUUGCAUUGCUUUUGCAUUGUGACACUAAAUCCUCUGGAUGAUUGGGAAGAUUCCAACAAACACACACCCCGGGCCCGCCUUGCAUCUGCCCAAUGCUAGGCUGAUGAAUUUUUUCCUCUUUUCCUUGUGGAAGAGUGGGGUGUGUGGAUCCUGCUGGCAGGCCAUCUCCUGGGUUGCCCCAAUGUCAAGGUUGCAGGUUCAAUCCCCAUAUGAGACAAGUGCAUAUUCCAGCAUUGCAGCGGUUGAACUAGAUGUUCCUCAAGGUCCCUUCCAAGUCUAUCCUGGCCCUUGUGCAUCCUUCCACACAUGUAGGGUCUUAGAAGGGCAGUGUAGGGAGAAUCUGCUGGCAGAGGUGGUUAUAGGGCAGCAAAACUGGUUCAGCUGCACUGGGAGUGCAAGAGGCAGGGGGCGCCGAAUUUUAGCAUUGCACAUGGUGCCGCUGAAAUUUGAGAGUCCCAAAUCUACCACUGCUGCUAGCGCAAGACACCAGGCCUAUUUCAAAUGGCCUACUUAGGGAUUUACACCAUUCUGAGCACGAUGUACUGACCAAAAGCGGAGAUCAAGCUUUUUGGGGGAAACAUUGUCCUUGGCCAUCUUUGUGUUUCUAUGCAAAUAAAUUUGAAACUUUUGUCAUCUUUGGAACCUAAGUUGUGCUGCCUUUCAUUUCUAGCUUCUGCUUGGAAAAUCUGUGAGAAUGUUAUUUGCCCCCAAAAUGGAAAGAUGAUGGAACCCCAACAAAAGAAGAAUGUAUACAAAACCUAUGGACUAUGCAGGAAUGGAAAAACUUACCGUAAGAAUAUGAAAUCAGGAUAGUAAACUUUUUAUAAAGGAAUGGAAAUGGUAUAUUGAAUAUUUGCAAACAAAUUGAAAACAGAAAAAAACAUUGGCAGGACUACUGUGACAAGCUGCAGUUUGAAAAAAAUACAGUGGUACUUCCAGUUGCGCACAGGAUACGUUCUGGAGCUCCGGUCGGAUCCCAAGAAAUUCACAACCGGAGGUGCUGUUUCUGCGUAUGCGCGCAGUGCGGCAGAGCACUGUAGAGCACUUCUGCACAUGCGCGCAUGGUGAAACCCAGAAAAAUACUUCUGGGUUUGCCGCGUUCGCAUCCUGAAGGAUACGCAACCAGAAGUGUGCGUAUCCAGAGGUACCACUGUAUAGAUAUAUGAAAAUGACUGCUCCCACAUAAAAUGGGGGCUCCUUUUGUGUGGUCGCACGCAGCCCCCUGGAUCCCAGUGUGACUCCUGGUAGUUUAGGCUGGUUUCAUACUCCCCAGGCUGGAUACCUGGAGGUCUCCUCCUACCUCAGCCAAUCGCCCAAUCCCACCUGGGGAGGCAUUGCCAGGGGAUUGGCCAGGUAAGAGGAGGGACCGUCCUGCCCACACAAUAGAAGGUGAAUCUUACCUGCGAAGCGGAAGUUGGCUCCACAGCUUCUCCCACCCUCCCCUCCCUCAGUUAAGUCUUAUUUUGCAGGUUAACCUCUUCUCCACAGGUACGCAGGCGCUGCUACAUCAGGGUCACUUUUGAAGGGCUGGAAAGGAAUUUUCCUGCCUUGGCAGGUUUUGCCUUCCCCGUAGCAAAACGUCACAACUUUGCUAGUUUCAGGCCUUGGGUGGAAUCCUUUAGUCUAUCUUCCUAAAUGGGGGGGGGGGCAUGAAGUUGUGACCCACACCCCCCUUGCGGUGGUGAUACCAGGGUUCCCCGUUAAAGGGGUCUUGAGGGGGAGGCAUUGGCCAUAUGCCGAGAGUUUGUCAUUGCUCUCCCCUCCAAAGGCAGUGAAAUGGGGGCGGGGGCUCUCUCUGCUUGAACAUAUGUUCUCCAGAGCAAGCCCAAUCCCCACACAUUCUGGAUAACCCUGAAGUCUCCCAGAUCCCUGGCUGGGGACUGGGAAGUAUAAACGCCCAAUGCCUGAGCCAAGGUCUCCCUACAUCUGAAACUUAAUAAAGUUGUGGCCAAUUUUAAUCCCAUAGCAUGUUGUCUUGAGUCAUUAUUCUGCUCAGGGGUCACCUCAUGUUGGGGGGACUCUGCCUGUCCACGCAAUAGAUGAAUAAAAGAAUGAUUUAAUAUAACUUAGAAUAUGCAGGGAAUGGUGAUUUAAAAAAUGAACCGCAGAAAGAGGAGGAAGGAAGUCGAGAUUUGAAAUGUCUGAAUUAUUGUUAAAUUACUAUUUUUUUAAAAAAUGAUAUUUAUUCCAAGUUUAAAGUUACAAAAAAAAACAAAAAAAAACAGUACAAAAUACAAAGAUAAAUUUAACCAUAGCCAUAACAGAGCAAAAAGUAAAAAGAAAAAAAGGACAAUAAAAACAGAACAAAAGAUAUAAAAAAGCAUUGAAUUAAAAUAGAACAAAAGCAAAUUAAACCUUUACAUAACUUUUUCCCUUUACUUAUUUCCUUGACCUCCUCUCACCUCCCAAUUUUGUAUUCUAGUUCAGAUCGUUUUUUUCAGCAAAUCCUUCCAACCUUAUUUUCAUUUACGUAUUUUAAUUUAAAAUAUUAUAAUUAAACAUCCUUUGUUUCAUCAAUUUCAUCAGCUCAUUUUUACUUAAUCCUUUAUCUCAUAUCUACCAAAACUGCCUAAUUUUCUUUUUCCAACAUCUUUCUAACAGUCUUUAAUAUUACAAUGCUUUUGAAGAUAUAUUUUAAAUUUUUUUCCAGUCCUCUUCCACCGACCCUAUUGUUAAAUUACUAUUGAAAUGUACAUAAAUGAAAACCAUUUUUAAAAAGAAAGAUCUUAAACCAGGCAUCCCCAAUCUGCAGCCCUCCAGAUGUUUUGGCCUACAACUCCCAUGAUCCCUAGCUAACAGGACAAGUGGUCUGGGAUUAUGGGAAUUGUAGUCCAAAACAACUGCAGGUCCAAAGGUUGGGGAUGCCUGUCAUAAACCAUUCUGAAUCUUAAAGUUUGCCUACACUGAUUUCAAAGUAACAAGUGGAAAGAACUGGAUUGUAUCAGCAGGGAAUAUAUCACAGAGACCUUGCCUUUCUGGGUGCUUCUACUUCUAGAUAUUCUGAAGGUUUCAGGGCUACAGUAGUUAUACAGUGCACAAGAGGGUCUUUUAAGAUGCUGAUAAAUUGGUGGGUACGAACCAAUCCAUUCCUGAAUCUUCCAAGUGUUCCAAGAGUUGUGAGCCUGUAAGUGACACAUUUUUUUCAUAACAGUCUUGCAGGCAAUGGAGUCCCACUUUGGAAAGAGUAGUAGAUAUUGAACCUAAAAUUGUGAUAUAUAAGGAAGCGGGACUAAGGGUGAGGGUAUGGAUGCUAGUUUCUUAUCAACUCUGCCACACCUCUAUAUGUGAAAGGGUUGCAUAAAAACUUCUAGAUUGACCUCAUUUGGGGCCAUGAGGGGAGGGAAGUGGAAUCUUGUUCCUCCAACACAACCCAAGACAUUAGCAAGUCUGUAGAAAUCAUAGGAAUGAUUUGCUGCAGGUGGAGGGAGUCAAAAUACAUUGGUAUGUGAUUGGACUCCCCAGCCUCCCAAACUGGUUUUCUAAUGCAACAGUGAGGAAGAUAGCCUGGACUAUCUGGAUUGAAAUAUAAGCCUAUUAAGAAGGUGUUGCCAAGAGGUAAGGCCGUUACACCAUCUUAACAAAACAAUGAGGUAAAGAUGGGACAUAUCCAACACAUGUCAUGAAUCCAGAGGAAGAGUAAUGUUUUUGGCAUGACCUGUGAAUAUAAGUUGCAUUCAAUUCAGUGGGCCUGAAAUGAACAGAUCCAAGUUAGUUGUUUUGUUUAACUUGAAUGGGUUUACACGGCACAGGAGCAAUGCUGGUUGCAAUUUUAUGAGAUGAGGAUUUGGUAAUGUAAGGUGUGUUCAUUUGUAACAGGUAAUUAGUGCUUUCCUUCUUGCUCUUGUCAGAUAAGCUAAAGGUCUACCUCCCACUCACCUUACAAGAGGCAGAAGAAGCAUAAGUUGCAAUGAAAGGGAAUGCGAUUGCACAGCUUUCCAAUGGCUUAGCCUCAUAGAAACCCUGCAGGGUAGGUUAGGCAGAUGGGGCUGUUAAUCAAGCACAUUAGAUCUAGUUCUCACACCCUUACAAUGAAAAGGUUUAGCAAACCUAUCGAACUGCGCAUCUGUAUAGAAGUAACACCAAUUAACAAACAAAUAUCCCAAUGAAGUAGAUAAAUGAAUAAGCAAAACUUAAAACCCACAGUUUCUCUUGCAAGACAAAGCAUUCUCCUUUUCAAUAAACAGGAAAAAAAAAUCCCUACCAUCAGUUACUGCUGAUAAAAAUAUUGGAAUAUUUGCACAGGUAUCUUAAAUUCCCUAGAAUUAUAAAUUUGGAUUGUUGUCCCAGAGUCUUUUGAACUGUCUAUUUAAAAAAUAAUAAUUGUUGUUAACAUCUCCCAAACACAAUCAUUCAUCUGUUGUAAGUAAACUUGAUUUCUUCCAGUGAUUUCAUUGAUCUGUAAUUAUUGAGGACUGUGAACUUAAACUAACAGCUGAACUGGAGAUAAAGAAAACAGAAAGUAUCAUACACCACAAUGUGUUUGAAAGUUUAUUUAUAUUUUAGAUUUCAUUAUUUGAAAUACACAAUAUUUUAAAAUGGCUAUCUGCAUUCCUAUUCCAUAUUCAAUUUUCCUCUCCCCCCCCUUUGCCUGAAAUGUCUUCCCCUUCUUGCACAGGUUGGUUCAGCUUUUUUUCUUUUUCUUUGUAUUUGUUAGAGAAAAUAUAUAAAAUAAAUAAGACGCUUGCAGCACAAGCAAUACACAUGUUUUUCAAGUAAAGGAUGGGAUAAAUUAUUGCUCUUAUUUAACUUGCAGUUUUACUUGCCCAGAAGCCCAUGCCACUAUCCUGCAGAUCACCCAGAAAUCUAAUACAGUAUAUCUUGAUCUACUUUGUAGAUCUCCUUCCUAUGUUCAGUCUUCUUUUGGUGUCAAUCAAAACUGCAGAAUAGAACUGCAUUAAACCUUACUUAUUCCUCAAUCAAUCAGCUUAUUAUGGUCAUAGACCAGCAGUUUAAAACUGGCUGAAAAUACAAUAAUUAUAACAACAAGAUACCAUAAUUAGUUAAACAACCCAGAAUAAAAGCAGGGAGGCAAGAAUCACUCACCAACUAGAGUUUUUACUAUUACUGAAACAAUACAAGUAAACCUUACUUAUUCCUGGUUUUUCCAGUUAAUCGUUUUAAACUAACUGGCUUUGAACUUGGCUACCUAUUUUGUUUUCCACUCACCAUUCCCUGAAUGGGGGCAGAUUCCAGGGAUGGCAGUACUUCAGUUAUGGGGUUUCUUUUGAAGGAGACCACUGGAGAGCUUUUCUUCUGUGCUUCAUCGCCCACUCAGAUGUUUCAUUUCCUACACCAUAACGUACGCUAAGAGAUGCUCAUCAAAGGGUUGUGGAACAACCAAGGGAGCUGCCUCUGGCAACCUUAGCACCUGACAGGGUCUGUAGGGAAGGAAACAGACUUUACGGUAUAGGGUUCCUGAGUCGUUUAGGGCUUUAAGCACUAACCUUAAGGCAGCCCUGUUCAGGGAAGUUUUUAAUAUGUAACGCUGUACUGUUUUUAACACUUGAUUGGGAGCCGCCCAGAGUGGCUGGGGAAACUCAGCCAGAUGGGCGGGGUAUAAAUAAUAAAUUAUUAUUAUUAUUAUUAUUAUUAUUAUUAUUAUUAUUACCUGAGCCCCCUGAAUCGAGCCCGGAAAUGAACUGGCUCUCAAAGCAGCUGUUUUAAAACUGGGGUUUUAUGUAAGGAAUAUCAAGGAAUAUUGCCUUUUAAGAUAAUGGAAUGUGUUGCUUUUUCAGACCUUGCGAAAGCUGCAACUGCUGAAAGAAUGCUGAGACUGAUAGGUCACAAGAUAACAGAUAACACAUAUUUAGCCAAAAUUCGUGGUUAAAAAGUUCGUAAGUCACAUAGCCUGUGGUUGGGACCUAGACACGAAGCCUGUUUGCACCUGUGAUUAGAACAGCUGGUGGUCAAAAUGUGGUUUGCCCUUUUAGCUUCAUAAGAUAUAAAACUCGGUUAUGCUUGCAUUUGAAACAAAUAGUGGUGUAACACGUGUAACUAGAACAACUUGUGUUUAGAAUACUUAUGUGAAUAGACAAAUGUUAAGGGACUUUUGACCAUAUUUGUACAAUGAUAAUCAUGGGGAUUGGGCGCCGAGGGUCUGGAGAGGGUGAGAUGUAAACAAAGGAGGAGAAUUUAGUAUUUUAUUGAGGCAGUCGUGAUAGGCUGUAACUUUUGCAGGCCCCUGCCCAGUGGGCAGGCAGAGGAAGGAACUUUGCGCUCCGUGAAAGGAUAAAUGCCUGCGUUGUACUGACCUGAGAUGUGCCUCCUUUGGACACCCAUUCUUGCAGCUAUGUUUUUGUAAUCAAUACAGUGGUGCCUCUCAAGACGAAAUUAAUCUGUUCCGCGAGUCUCUUCGUCUUACAGUUUUUUCGUCUUGCGAAGCAUGGCUAUUAGCGGCUUAGCGGCUAUUAGCGGCUUAGCGGCUAUUAACAGCUUAGCGGCUUUAAGAAAAAGGAAACAAACUCGCAAGAAAUCGCAAGACGUUUCGUCUUGCGAAGCAAGCCCAUAGGGAAAUUCGUCUUGCGGAACGACUCAAAAAACGGAAAACUCUUUUGUCUAGCGAGUUUUUCGUCUUGCGAGGCAUUCAUCUUGUGGGGCACCACUGUAAACUUUUGCUGCUUCACCAAUUUUACUCAGACUUUAUUUCAAAGGCCCUUGGGACCGGUUUUUAUAUCUCAUGUUUUAUGAGAUCUAAAUGGAACCCCAGUCAGUAAUCUGCUGUAACCAGAAGAGCCAGAGGCUAGGUGAAGCAAGGGUCCUAAGAGCUCAGUCUUAGAGUUUGUGUGCAGCAGGUUCGAAAUUCUGUCCCUGGCUAACCAUUAUUGGUUCCAAUGAACAGGAUUUAAGUUGUUCUGGGAUCAGGGGCAUAUGAAGGGGGGCGGUGGGGGCGGUCUGCCCCGGGUACCACUCGGGGGGUGACAUGAUGGCCCGCUGCCUCCCCCCCAGCUGUAGGGCGGCCGAGGGCAGUCCCUACGGGAUGCUGCACAUGCACAGUUCAUACAGAUGUCACAUGUGUGCUGCUGGGCGGUUUGCCCCGCCCCUUGGCGUCCCACCCCGGGUGCCAGAGAGGGUUCCUCCACCACUGUCUGGGAUAAGGCCAAGUUAGUCAAACCACAGCAUUGCAAUGGUAUACUUUGCACCCUUCCUUCCCCACUAUUUGUCAAUGAUGAACUGGACUGCAUUUCAAGGUGAUUUCAAGGUCCUUGAAAGUUUGACCUGUAGUGGAUCACAGGAGAAUGGGAUCAAACAUUCCCUCGCUUGUUGACCUGAUAUGGAGAGAGUUGAAAUACUAACUUGGGUUUGGUUAUAAGCCUCCCCAUGGUGGGUGAAAUGAAAUGAGUUCAGUUUACUCAACAGGUCUUACUUAUGUCACACGUGGAAUCAUUCUGCGCAAGUGCUCCUUCUUAUUGCUAAAUGUUUCACCUCUUGCAGAUGUGGUUGGAAUUUUGUUUUGACAGUUUCUGGAUUUCAGAAGAAGAGAGAGAGAGAAUCUGACAAUGUGUUCAAUACAGCCAUACCUUGGAAGUCAAACGGAAUCUGUUCCAGAAGUCUGUUCGACUUCCAAAACAUUUGGAAACCAAGGAAGCUCUUGCAGCCAAUCGGAAGCCACAGAAGCCGCGUCGGACAUUCGGGUUCCAAAGAACGUUCACAAACCGGGACACUCACUUCUGGGUUUGCGGCGUUCAGAAGCCAAAACAUUCAACUCGCAAGGCGUUUGGGAUCAAAGGUAUGUCUAUAUUCAUUAGGCUAUAAGUAAAGGUAAAGGUACCCCUGCCCGUACGGGCCAGUCGUGUCCGACUCUAGGGUUGUGCGCCCAUCUCACUUAAGAGUCCGGGGGCCAGCGCUGUCCGGAGACACUUCCGGGUCACGUGGCCAGCGUGAUGAAGCUGCUCUGGCGAGCCAGCACCAGUGCAGCACACGGAAACGCCAUUUACCUUCCCGCUAUAAAGCGGUACCUAUUUAUCUACUUGCACUUAGGGGUGCUUUCGAACUGCUAGGUGGGCAGGAGCUGGGACCGAAAGAUGGGAGCUCACCCCGCCACGGGGAUUCGAACUGCCGACCAUGCGAUCGGCAAGCCCUAGGCGCUGAGGUUUUACCCACAGUGCCACCUGCAUCCCCACUAGGCUAUAUCCAAUGUUAUAUCACAGCCAGGGAAGACCCACUGACAAAAAUGGAUAUGGGUAACUCAGGCCCAUUAAUUUCAAGGAGUCUACUCUGCUUAAAACUUAGCUAGCUGGCUGGCCACUACUGCAGCCCGUGUUUUGUUAGCCCAAAAAUGGAAAACAAGCGAGGCAACUUAAGCUGAUGGAAUAUUGUGCAGCUUUCAAACUUAACAUAUAGAAUAAAAGAACAAUAAGAACAUCUGUUUAGAGAAGAUUGGAACAUGUUUAUUGAAUAUAUAGGAGGGUUGUGUACACUUAGAAACGUUGCCAGCAUUAAGAUGAAUUCAACAGUGUAAAUAAGUUUUGAUGGAUGUAAUUAUGGAAUACUGAAUGGUUUAGUUUAUGUAAAAAAUGCAGAGAUUUCUGAUAUGCAAAAUGAACCUUGGAAAGAGAAGAAGGUGGAGUCAUUGAUAUUUUAAGGAUGUUUAAAUGAGUAUUCUAAAUUGUAAAUUUUAUAUAUAUAUAUGAAUGAACUUAAAUGCCUACAUCCCACUAGAUGGCCCACCAGGGGCCAUCAAUGGGUCCAACAGCAGAGGAAGACAAAGAGGAAGAAGUUUUCCUCUUCUCUCUCACUAACACUAUCAGGGGCAUCCUAUGACGCUCUGUGUUGGGAGAUUCAGGACAGACAAAAGAAAGUAGAAAGGAAAGAGCAUUAUUGAUUAAAAUAAAGCAGGCAUAGCUUAAGUUGUCAUCAAACCAGUUCGCAAAGACCCUCGUGGCCAGAUAGAAUUCCUAAGCAUUUGUUACUUACUGGUUUGAGAAGGAAGUAUGCAGUUAACUUGUGAAGCUGGCUACUGCAAGGGGUAGUGGUCAGGAACAUGGAUGUACUUAAAAGAGGAUUAGACAAAUUCAUGAAAGAGAAGGCUAAGUUCUUCCUCUACAGUUAAAGGCAGCAUGCUUCCAAAUGUCAGCUGCAAUGACCUUUCUCAGGCACUGCUUGUGGGUGUCCCAAGAGGCAUCUGUCAGGAAUGAGCCAGCUCCCAGUGUAACUUUGCAUCCGGCUGCUGAAUACAGUCAGGAACAGAGAAGUUUGGAGUCAAUGCCGGCUGAGCAGAGCACACAGCUGCCAGCAUCAACUCCCUCUAACCUUGGACGUCCAGUUGCCAAGGGAACAACUGAGAGCGGGCUGGAAAACAGCCAAAGGUCUCAGGAAGCUCAAAAAGGCUUGAACAGCCACACAGUUUUUUGGAAUAGGAAGAGGCUGUAGCUGACAAAAAAGUCCAAGGCAGAGGCGAAUUGGGGGGCUGCUAGACAGGAAGCAAAAUAAGAGACGUAAAGGUCGAAAGUUCAAUAUCUUCUGUCGACACCAGAAGGAAUCUUCAGAAGGGUCAUCUUGAGUGAUAAUGCCGGUGGCUUGGCUAGAGCCAUCCAGAGUUAUCUGUUUGUAUUUACAAUAAAUCCUCCUUUUUAAUUACCUACACUUACUGUGUUAUCAAGCUGGGAACCUGGACUCUUGACAGCAUCUACCUGGUCAUUUUUGAGAACAGUAUGCUAGACUAGGUGUGGCCAUUGGCCUGAAUCUGAAGGCUUUUCUUAUGUCCAGCACACUGACUUUAAUAAAUUAGACUGUGCCAAACAUUUGAUCUGACUUUCAGUUUUUUUAAUGUUAUGAUUGGGAGAGCAGGGCAUGAAAAAGAAUAUGCCUGCACAGAAGGGGAAGACUACCAGCGCAGGACAAAACGGGC